GACGAAGGGGGCUAGCGUUGUUCGGAAUUACUGGGCGUAAAGGGCGCGUAGGCGGUUCUUUAAGUCAGGCGUGAAAGCCCUGGGCUCAACCUGGGAGUGGCGCUUGAUACUGAGGAACUAGAGAGUGGGAGAGGUUGGUGGAAUUCCCAGUGUAGAGGUGAAAUUCGUAGAUAUUGGGAAGAACACCGGUGGCGAAGGCGGCGUCCUGGACCAACACUGACACUGAGGAGCGAAAGCCAGGGGAGCAAACGGG
Molecule: ribosomal RNA, 253 nt
Filed under: uncultured bacterium
Lineage: Bacteria
Description: partial 16S ribosomal RNA
Rfam family: Bacterial small subunit ribosomal RNA
Source: RNAcentral